Long non-coding RNA from Engraulis encrasicolus (European anchovy), 2114 nucleotides. RefSeq lists it as uncharacterized. The transcript has 3 exons. The record is from RefSeq and is a predicted model, not a curated record. NCBI's taxonomy places the organism in Eukaryota, Metazoa, Chordata, Actinopteri, Clupeiformes, Engraulidae.
UCUGUACCAGAGGCUGGGUCAGUUGGCCUUGCGUCAUUUGGAUGGUGGUAGUUGGACCGCUGGGUCUCCUUUAGUUGGAUAGCGGCAGUUGGACUGCCGGGUCGUCAUGCGUCAUUGCAACUGGGUCCCCUCUGUACCAGAGGCUGGGUCCAUUGAUAUUGUACUAUUUGGAUAGCGGCGGUUAGACUGCCAGGUCCCCAUCUCUUGCUUUGUCACUGGGUCCCCUCUGUACCAGAGGCUGGGUCAGUUGGCCUUGCGUCAUUUGGAUGGUGGUAGUUGGACCGCUGGGUCUCCUUUGGUUGGAUAGCGGCAGUUGGACUGCCGGGUCGCCAUGCGUCAUUGCAACUGGGUCCCCUCUGUACCAGAGGUUGGGCCCACUGGCGUUUUCCCCUCUCUUUUAGCCACACUAAGGCCUGACUAGGUUGGUUAGUUCCCUGGGAUUCCCUGCAGUGGGGGAACCCAUGAUUUGAAUCGGUUUGUCGUCGAGGCGCCGACACAAAAGGUGGGGGUAAAUGUGACAGAUUGGUCUACACCCCUCAAUCUGACUGAUUUUGGUCCUUUGUCUGUGAUUGGCUGGCCCAUUACUGGCAGGACUUUUAUGUUGAUAAAUGUAGUUUUUGGACGUGACGUGGGUCUCUCUUUCCGCCCCGCUGUUGUUUUGCCGGCAGAGGACGCCGGCUGGCGUGUGAGCUGCUGCUAGCCGUGAUCAUUAUCCGGUAGAUUUGGUACCUUCAGCCAUUCUUGCGUGGAACUGCACUCUGCUGUGAACUGGCGUUCACUUCGCGCUGCCUAUACUGCACCGGUGUGUACCUCUGGUUGGUGUGUUGCCCCAUCAUCUGUGCCCUGUGGCAGGCCUGAUUUGUGGUGCCUAUGCCGGUCUUGGAGUAGCCACAGUGGUUGGCACCUGGGUUCCUGACUGCAGUCAGUGGAUGUGUGUGGUCCAAAUUGCGAUUGUUCCGAACCACGGAUCCAUGAUCGGGUUAGCGGUGCCUCUCUGACGCCGUGGGAUUGCUGGCUACACUCCUCGGAGGUUGCUGUUUUGUUGCCACCACACUCUGCGCCGGUUCCGACUGGCUCCACCUGCUCUGUCCUGCUUUUGUUUGGUUUUAUUAUUUUUAUUUUCUGGCCCGUUUCUUGGGACGCCAGCCUCCUCGCUGCGCACUGCGCAGGUCUAGUUACCUGUGUGUGUUGUGAGUGCGUGUGUGUCUGUGCGUCUGUAUGCGUGUGUGAUUGUCAUCUAGGCACGGCACCGGAGGCAAGUGUACACCCCCUUCAGUCAACCUACAGCGGUGUAGUUCUCCCCUCUCUCUUGCUAUACAAAAGUUAAGUUGCAUCUAGUCAUCACUGUGUAUGCAAAUUGUGUAAUACAUUAGUACGUGUCAUUCUCGCCAUUGAGUGUCUCUCUCUUCUCUCCUCCCUGGAUAGGUAUGGAGUUGCCAUAGCGCGCCGGUCUUCGGGUGGUGGAUUCCCUCACUUUUCCAUUGCUGUGUGCACUUGGGUGACUAUUACUAUUUUGCUGCGUGUAGUAGUAGAUGUGUGUUUUCUUUUUAUUUUGUGUGAGUACUUUAUUGUGUGUGUUUAUUUUGUGUGACCUUUUCCCUAGUCUUUAACUAUCCCUUUUCAACCGUGCUGCUAUUGGUUAGCCUAAGCCUAGCCCCCUCUCCAUUUAAGAGUGACACCAUUGCCCUGUCUCCCCCGUAUUGGGGCGUUGCUUAUGACUGAGUGUAGCCUCCCUUCUCUCUCGCACAGGUGCCGUGCGUGUGUAUGUGUGCGUGGUGCGUGUGUGUGGCCAUUGGCCAUAUUGCUCCAUAUAACGACCCGUCUGUGGGUGUCUAAUAGGGAAUUUGUGCAAUAUUGUCUUUAAUACAAUUCAUCCAUAUUGUAUUUUGUAACGUAUUACUACUUGUCCCUCUGCAUCACCACUGCAUAAUUGCACAUUUGUAUCCACCUGAUUACUGACCAGCCGACUAUUGUAUUUGUAAUGUAAAGAGAAUAAACACUUGACUCAUGCCUGAGAGUGCUCCGAACCUGUGUCCUGGUUUACUAAUUUGGGGGGUAAUUUCACUCCUAGGUUGUCUUCCCCCACCCUAGGUGGCGUAGUCGUGCAAGAGCUG